This 78-nucleotide small nucleolar RNA is filed under the name Neogale vison (American mink). Its description in RNAcentral is "Neovison vison (American mink) Small nucleolar RNA SNORD83 (ENSNVIG00000016589.1)". It matches the Rfam family "Small nucleolar RNA SNORD83". Rfam says of the family: U83 (SNORD83) and U84 (SNORD84) are members of the C/D class of snoRNA which contain the C (UGAUGA) and D (CUGA) box motifs. They act as guanine methylation guides but lack complementarity to ribosomal RNA. Lineage: Eukaryota; Metazoa; Chordata; Mammalia; Carnivora; Mustelidae. The record is from Rfam by way of RNAcentral.
GCCACAUGAUGUUUUUAUUUUGAGAAAUGAGCGCUUUCUGCAAUGAUGACCUUAAUCUAUCACCCUUGACUGAUGGCU